CACUUUAGUUCGAGCAAAGAACGUUCAACAUGCAUCUUCUUAGCCAUACUUUGCUAUUUCAUAUUUUUCAGUUCUCAAUAAUGUUGCCCUUAUUCAGUUGCAGACAUGAGUGCGGUCCGCUCACAAUUAUAAAUACACAACUUGGAUACUGUUCAAAAGUCGAUUUUUGCAACAAAAUCGAAUCAGACGAAUGUGGAAUUGGCGAAACUUGUUGCGAUACAGCGCCAAGAAAUAUGUUUGAAUAAAAUAUUAGAGGAUAAAACAGAUCGGUAUAUACAAUAUUGAAAGAGUGUACGUGUUCACAUAACUUACCAAUUCUAAAUUGAGUUAUGCAGUUCACAUUUUAUUUAUUUGUCGCCUGAAAAAAGUUAUAUCUUAUUAUUAGACAUCAAAAAUCAUUACAAAUAUUUAUAAUAAAAUGUUAUGUUUAAUGCUGGAAAUAAAA
Non-coding RNA from Drosophila virilis, 445 nucleotides. NCBI's taxonomy places the organism in Eukaryota, Metazoa, Arthropoda, Insecta, Diptera, Drosophilidae. The record is from RefSeq and is a predicted model, not a curated record.